RNAcentral lists this ribosomal RNA (406 nucleotides) under uncultured bacterium. RNAcentral describes it as "partial 16S ribosomal RNA". It matches the Rfam family "Bacterial small subunit ribosomal RNA", at positions 30 to 526 of the family's 1533-position model. The record is from RNAcentral.
AUUGAACGCUGGCGGCAGGCCUAACACAUGCAAGUCGAACGAGUGGCAGACGGGUGAGUAAUGUUUGGGACUCUGCCAGAUGGCGGGGGAUAACUACGGGAAACUGUAGCUAAUACCGCAUACCAUAGGGAAAGCACAAGUGGGAGUAGGUAGUUGGUGGGGUAAUGGCUCACCCAGGCGCAGAUCCCUAGCUGGUCUGAGAGGAUGACCAGCCACACUGGAACUGAGACACGGUCCAGACUCCUACGGGAGGCAGCAGUGGGGAAUAUUGCACAAUGGGCGCAAGCCUGAUGCAGCCAUGCCGCGUGUAUGAAGAAGGCCUUCGGGUUGUAAAGUACUUUCAGUGGGGAGGCGUUACCCGCAGAAGAAGCACCGGCUAACUCCGUGCCAGCAGCCGCGGUAAUAC